This is a long non-coding RNA of Ornithodoros turicata, 498 nucleotides long. RefSeq lists it as uncharacterized. The transcript is spliced from 3 exons. NCBI's taxonomy places the organism in Eukaryota, Metazoa, Arthropoda, Arachnida, Ixodida, Argasidae. The record is from RefSeq and is a predicted model, not a curated record.
UUUCACUUUUCACUGAUCCAAAGGAGGUCACGUGGGAUUGCUUGAAAAUGGCGAAACGAAACUUGUGAAUCGUGCAUUUGCUCUUCUUGGUAGCUGCCAGAAAAUCGAAUCAAGCUUAUGGGACACUGGAUUACAGGUUGCUGCCACUACUCCAUGUGCCCGCAAUUGUCUUGCGUGUAUGAUUACACUAACGGCGUCGCCCACCACGGCGGAAGUGUUUUGCGUACACGCGUUUCAGCAUGAAGCCUGCAGGUGGACGUAAAUUGUAGAAGGCAGCUAGUGGGGGAGAAGAUCAUGGUCAUAGGUCAUGUGACUCCUGGAGCUCCCAGUGGGCUCCCUUGUGGAGUACUUUUCAGAACACACACACAUACAGUUUGCUCACAGAACCAACGAGUAGGAUGUUGCUUGAAUACUGAGAGAAAAUGGCGUAACACAUACAAAUAUCGUGUGACACAUAUGACAAUAAAAACAUUUUUCACGAGGGAUGCAUGAAACACU